UUAAGCCAUGCGAGUCGAACGAGUUUAGGCUCGUGGCGUACGGCUCAGUGACACGUGGAUAACCUACCCUUAGGACUGGGAUAACCUUGGGAAACUGAGGAUAAUACCGGAUAGGCAAUUUUUCCUGUAAUGGUUCUUUGUUUAAAUGUUUUUUUUCGCCUAAGGAUGGGUCUGCGGCCGAUUAGGUAGUUGGUUAGGUUAAUGGCUUACCAAGCCUAUGAUCUGUACGGGUUGUGAGAGCMAGAGCCCGGAUAUGGAACCUGAGACAAGGUUCCAGGCCCUACGGGGUGCAGCAGGCGCGAAACCUCCGCAAUGUGAGAAAUCCCGACGGGGGGAUCCCAAGUGCCAUUCUGAAAAGGAGGGCUUUUCAUUACUGUAAAGAGCUUUUGGAAUAAGGGCUGGGCAAGACCGGUGCCARCCAGCCGCGGUACCACCGGCAGCUCUAGUGGUAGCAGUUUUUCUUGGACCUAAAGCGKCCGCAGCCGGUUUAAKGCCUAWCGGGUGAAUUCCUGUAKCUUAAMUGUGGUAGUUGAAUCAKGUACUAUUASACUGGGAAUUGGGGGAGAUAAUAUGUGCUCCCAGGCCAGGGGUGAUUAGCGGUACUCCCGGGAKGGMCGCCAAAUUCUAUAGUCUUUGGAUGACCCCGUGUUGAGAGGGAGUGUAAAUGGUAAGGGGCKCACGGUGAGGGACGAAAGUUAGGGGCGCGAACCGGAAUAGAUACCCAGGUAGUCCUGGGGUGAAAUGAAGCGGACUUGGUGUUGGGGUGGCUUUGAGAUGCUCCAGUGCCGGAGGGAAGCUGUUAAGUCCGCCGCCUGGGAAGWACGGUCGCAAGACUGAAACUUAAAGGAAUUGGCGGGGGUGCACCACAACGCGUGGAGCCUGCGGUUUAAUUGGAUUCAACGCCGGACAUCUCACCAGAGGCGACAGCUGUAUGAUAGCCAGGCUGAUGACUUUGCUUGAACUAGCUGAGAGGUGGUGCAUGGCCA
Molecule: ribosomal RNA, 986 nt
Filed under: uncultured Methanobrevibacter sp.
Lineage: Archaea; Methanobacteriati; Methanobacteriota; Methanobacteria; Methanobacteriales; Methanobacteriaceae
Description: bacterial SSU rRNA
Rfam family: Archaeal small subunit ribosomal RNA
Source: RNAcentral